Molecule: transfer RNA, 88 nt
Filed under: candidate division WWE3 bacterium
Lineage: Bacteria; candidate division WWE3
Description: tRNA-Ser
Rfam family: tRNA
About the family: Transfer RNA (tRNA) molecules are approximately 80 nucleotides in length. Their secondary structure includes four short double-helical elements and three loops (D, anti-codon, and T loops). Further hydrogen bonds mediate the characteristic L-shaped molecular structure. tRNAs have two regions of fundamental functional importance: the anti-codon, which is responsible for specific mRNA codon recognition, and the 3' end, to which the tRNAs corresponding amino acid is attached (by aminoacyl-tRNA synthetases). tRNAs cope with the degeneracy of the genetic code in two manners: having more than one tRNA (with a specific anti-codon) for a particular amino acid; and 'wobble' base-pairing, i.e. permitting non-standard base-pairing at the 3rd anti-codon position.
Source: RNAcentral
GGUGGGUUGGCUGAGCGGUUUAAAGCGGUCGUCUUGAAAACGACUUCCGCCUUGCGGAUCGGAGGUUCGAAUCCUCCACCCACCGCCA